CCUACGGGAGGCAGCAGUGGGGGAUAUUGCACAAUGGGGGAAACCCUGAUGCAGCGACGCCGCGUGGGCGAAGAAGUAUUUCGGUAUGUAAAGCCCUAUCAGCAGGGAAGAAGAAAUGACGGUACCUGAGUAAGAAGCACCGGCUAAAUACGUGCCAGCAGCCGCGGUAAUACGUAUGGUGCAAGCGUUAUCCGGAUUUACUGGGGGUAAAGGGAGCGCAGGCGGCACGGCAAGCCUGAUGUGAAAGCCCGCGGCCCAACCGCGGGACUGCAUUGGGAACUACCGGGCUGGAGUGCCGGAGAGGUAGGAGGAAUUCCUAGUGUAGCGGUGACAUGCGUAGAUAUUAGGAGGAACACCAGUGGCGAAGGCGGCCUACUGGACGGUGACUGACGCUGAGGCUCGAAAGCGUGGGGAGCAAACAGGAUUAGAUACCCGGGUAGUC
Molecule: ribosomal RNA, 442 nt
Filed under: uncultured bacterium
Lineage: Bacteria
Description: partial 16S ribosomal RNA
Rfam family: Bacterial small subunit ribosomal RNA
Source: RNAcentral